AUUGAACGCUGGCGGCAGGCCUAACACAUGCAAGUCGAACGAGUGGCGGACGGGUGAGUAAUGUCUGGGAAACUGCCUGAUGGAGGGGGAUAACUACUGGAAACGGUAGCUAAUACCGCAUACCAUCGGAUGUGCCCAUAUGGGAUUAGCUAGUAGGUUGGGUAAAGGCUCACCUGGGCGACGAUCCCUAGCUGGUCUGAGAGGAUGAUCAGCCACACUGGGACGGAGCCACGGCCCAGACUCCUACGGGAGGCAGCAUUGGGGAAUAUUGGACAAUGGGCGCAAGCCUGAUGCAGCCAUGCCGCGUGUAUGAAGAAGGCCUUCGGGUUGUAAAGUACUUUCAGCGGGGAGGCGUUACCCGCAGAAGAAGCACCGGCUAACUCCGUGCCAGCAGCCGCGGUAAUUC
RNAcentral lists this ribosomal RNA (406 nucleotides) under uncultured bacterium. RNAcentral's name for it is "partial 16S ribosomal RNA". It matches the Rfam family "Bacterial small subunit ribosomal RNA", at positions 30 to 526 of the family's 1533-position model. The record is from RNAcentral.